ACGGCGAGUGAAGCGGGACUAGCUCAGGAUGUGAAUCUGCGCUUUUAUGGCGCCGAAUUGUGGUCUGUAGACUUUGACGUUAUCUGCCGGGCCAAGUUCCUUGGAAAAGGACAGCUGAGAGGGUGAAACUCCCGUCCGCCUGGUAGAAUGAGUCUUUGUCAACGAGUCGAGUUGUUUGGGAUUGCAGCUCUAAUUUGGUGGUAAAUUCCAUCUAAAGCUAAAUAUUGGUGGGAGACCGAUAGCGUACAAGUACCGUGAGGGAAAGAUGCAAAGAACUUUGAAAAGAGAGUUAAAGAGUACCUGAAAUUGCUGAAACGGAAGCGAAGGAAACCAGUGUUUGUUGGUUCAUAUUUCCCUGGCCACUUGUGGUUUGGGCGCUGUGAGCUUGCGUGGGUUUGGGUUGGUUGAUCCCUUUGGAAGAGCGCAGUCAGAGUUGAUGUCUGUUGCUAGC
RNAcentral lists this ribosomal RNA (451 nucleotides) under Pseudo-nitzschia fraudulenta. RNAcentral describes it as "eukaryotic LSU rRNA". It matches the Rfam family "Eukaryotic large subunit ribosomal RNA", at positions 86 to 553 of the family's 3401-position model. The record is from RNAcentral. Lineage: Eukaryota; Bacillariophyta; Bacillariophyceae; Bacillariales; Bacillariaceae.